CGUGGGUAACCUGCCCAUCAGAGGGGGAUAACAUUCGGAAACGGAUGCUAAAACCGCAUAGGUCUUCGAACCGCAUGGUUUGAAGAGGAAAAGAGGCGCAAGCUUCUGCUGAUGGAUGGACCCGCGGUGCAUUAGCUAGUUGGUGAGGUAACGGCUCACCAAGGCCGUGAUGCAUAGCCGACCUGAGAGGGUGAUCGGCCAUAUUGGGACUGAGACACGGCCCAA
Molecule: ribosomal RNA, 225 nt
Filed under: uncultured bacterium
Lineage: Bacteria
Description: partial 16S ribosomal RNA
Rfam family: Bacterial small subunit ribosomal RNA
Source: RNAcentral